Thalassophryne amazonica is the source of this 98-nucleotide long non-coding RNA. RefSeq lists it as uncharacterized. The transcript has 3 exons. The record is from RefSeq and is a predicted model, not a curated record. NCBI's taxonomy places the organism in Eukaryota, Metazoa, Chordata, Actinopteri, Batrachoidiformes, Batrachoididae.
AAGCGAACGUCAACCUCGACGCUUUAAAGAAAAUCAAAACAAUAUAUUCACGAUAACGUGACCGAAAUUGUGUAUAAAACCAAUCUGUCUGCAGCGCU